RNAcentral lists this ribosomal RNA (484 nucleotides) under uncultured bacterium. RNAcentral describes it as "partial 16S ribosomal RNA". It matches the Rfam family "Bacterial small subunit ribosomal RNA", at positions 30 to 507 of the family's 1533-position model. The record is from RNAcentral.
AUUGAACGCUGGCGGCAGGCCUAACACAUGCAAGUCGAGCGGAUGAAGGGAGCUUGCUCCUGGAUUCAGCGGCGGACGGGUGAGUAAUGCCUAGGAAUCUGCCUGGUAGUGGGUGAUAACGUCCGGAAACGGGCGCUAAUACCGCAUACGUCCUGAGGGAGAAAGUGGGGGAUCUUCGGACCUCACGCUAUCAGAUGAGCCUAGGUCGGAUUAGCUAGUUGGUGGGGUAAAGGCCUACCAAGGCGACGAUCCGUAACUGGUCUGAGAGGAUGAUCAGUCACACUGGAAGUGAGACACGGUCCAGACUACUACGGGAGGCAGCAGUGGGGAAUAUUGGACAAUGGGCGAAAGCAUGAUCCAGCCAUGCCGCGUGUGUGACGAAGGUCUUGGGAUCGUAAAGCACUUUAAGUUGGGAGGAAGGGCAGUAAGUUAAUACCUUGCUGUUUUGACGUUAACAACAGAAUAAGCACCGGCUAACUUCGUG